UGAUCUAGCCAUGCCGCGUGUAGUGAUGAAGGCCUUAGGAUCGUAAAGCUCUUUCGCCCGGGAUGAUAAUGACAGUACCUGGUAAAGAAUCCCCGGCUAACUCCGUGCCAGCAGCCGCGGUAAUACGGAGGGGGUUAGCGUUGUUCGGAAUUACUGGGCGUAAAGCGCGCGUAAGCGGAUCGGAAAGUUGGGGGUGAAAUCCCAGGGCUCAACCCUGGAACUGCCUCCAAAACUCCUGGUCUUGAUUUCGAGAGAGGUGAGUGGAAUUCCGAGUGUAAAGGUGAAAUUCAUAUAUAUUCGGAAGAACACCAUUGGCGAAGGCGGCUCACUGGCUCGAUACUGACGCUGAGGUGCUAAAGUGUGGGGAGCAAACAGGAUUAAAUACCCUGGUAGUCCACACCGUAAACUAUGAAGGCCAGUCGUCCGGUAGUAUACUAUUCGGUGACACACCUAACGGAUUAACCAUUCCGCCUGGGGAGUACGGUCGCAAGAUUAAAACUCAAAGAAAUUGACGG
RNAcentral lists this ribosomal RNA (515 nucleotides) under uncultured marine bacterium. RNAcentral's name for it is "bacterial SSU rRNA". It matches the Rfam family "Bacterial small subunit ribosomal RNA", at positions 384 to 916 of the family's 1533-position model. The record is from RNAcentral.